Non-coding RNA from Doryrhamphus excisus (bluestripe pipefish), 732 nucleotides. Lineage: Eukaryota; Metazoa; Chordata; Actinopteri; Syngnathiformes; Syngnathidae. The record is from RefSeq and is a predicted model, not a curated record.
UCCAGCGCGAGUGUUUUUAUUUUUGAAAAUGUAUAAUUUAUAUCACCGUAGAAUAAUAAAAUCUUAAUUUAAAAUCAAGCCAAGUGAUCUUUGUCACCUCGGUGUUGUUUCAUGAUCAUAAGCAUAUCAGAAGUACGGAAAUGGAAAGAUAACGCGAUUCAAGCUACAGCCAAACAUCUUGUUGCUAAUCGAAACAUAAGCCUUAGUUGUCUGAGUACAAUCAAAGUUAUAGUACAUCAAGGCGAAGAUGGCUGACGUCCUGUGUUUGGAGACUUUUACCCUGUCAUCGUAGGACGAUGUUCCUUGUUUGGCCAACAGGGGGCAGCCGAGUCUAAAAGGCCAAAACUGUGAACGGACUUGAAGUGGACCUCGGUAUCAUCAGAAGCACACAAGCUGUAUGGACUGGGCUGUGAUUAGCAUGAAGAGCAGCUGUGCUAACAGCUGUGCUAGCAGCCGUGCUAGCAGUUGACGACACGGCUGUUGUCUCUGCAGAGAAAGUCCAACGUAAACAUAGCUAGCAUACCACACUCCGCGUGUGCUCCCGUUAGUACAGCUCACGGACCUUUGGGGGAAAUUCUUUUUCUGCGGGAAUAAUAAUAAUAAUAAUAAUAAUAAUAAUAAUAAUAAUAGAAAUGAUCCGAUCCAGGGUCAAAAACGUCACAUUUUAACAUUGGUAGUUAGCGCGGCCUGUUAGAUGGGGACCCCUGCCUUUGUAGCAUGCUUGGGGAUAUG